GACAGAGGUCCCGAGCGUUAGGCGGAAUCACUGGGCUUAAAGCGUGUGUAGGCGGAUUUGUAAGUACCUUGUGAAAUCCCACGGCUCAACCGUGGAACUGCUUGGUAUACUGCUUAUCUUGAGCCACCUAGGGGCAACCGGAACAAGCGGUGGAGCGGUGAAAUGCGUAGAUAUCGAGAGGAACACCUGCGGCGAAGGCGGGUUGCUGGGCUGACACUGACGCUGAUGUGCGAAAGCUAGGGGAGCGAACGGG
RNAcentral lists this ribosomal RNA (253 nucleotides) under uncultured bacterium. RNAcentral's name for it is "partial 16S ribosomal RNA". It matches the Rfam family "Bacterial small subunit ribosomal RNA", at positions 524 to 776 of the family's 1533-position model. The record is from RNAcentral.